GGAUGUGAGGGUACUCGGGCCGCGACACCGGCCACCCUGGUGAUCACCAGGGUCGACCCGGCACAUGGGGCUACCGAGGCAGGCGUCUGCUUCCUCCCUUUCCGCGCCACAUGUGCCCCUGCCAAAGCUGCGCUGGUCGAACAGGACCCCCCCAUUCCCGCAGAAGAGGGCCCGG
RNAcentral lists this small nuclear RNA (175 nucleotides) under Mustela putorius furo (domestic ferret). RNAcentral describes it as "7SK RNA". It matches the Rfam family "7SK RNA", at positions 1 to 176 of the family's 331-position model. Rfam says of the family: 7SK was discovered as an abundant small nuclear RNA in the mid-70s but a possible function has only recently been suggested. The record is from Rfam by way of RNAcentral. Lineage: Eukaryota; Metazoa; Chordata; Mammalia; Carnivora; Mustelidae.